RNAcentral lists this ribosomal RNA (369 nucleotides) under uncultured eukaryote. Its description in RNAcentral is "partial 18S ribosomal RNA". It matches the Rfam family "Eukaryotic small subunit ribosomal RNA", at positions 592 to 975 of the family's 1831-position model. The record is from RNAcentral.
CAAUAGCGUAUAUUAAAGUUGUUGCAGUUAAAAAGCUCGUAGUUGGACCUUGGACCUGGACAGGCGGUCCGCCUCACGGCGAGUACUGUCUUGCUGGGUCCUUCCUCUUGGUGAUCUGUUGUUUCGGCAGCAGGGAACCAGGACCUUUACUUUGAAAAAAUUAGAGUGUUCAAAGCAGGCUCGACGCCGGAAUAUAUUAGCAUGGAAUAAUAAAAUAGGACGUGCGGUUCUAUUUUGUUGGUUUUUGGAAUCGCCGUAAUGAUUAAUAGGGACAGUCGGGGGCAUUAGUACUCACAUGCUAGAGGUGAAAUUCUUGGAUUUUGUGAAGACUAACUUCUGCGAAAGCAUUUGCCAAGGAUGUUUUCAUUA